Molecule: ribosomal RNA, 540 nt
Filed under: Triticum aestivum (bread wheat)
Lineage: Eukaryota; Viridiplantae; Streptophyta; Magnoliopsida; Poales; Poaceae
Description: partial small subunit ribosomal RNA
Source: RNAcentral
AUGCUGAAUUUUACUCGAGCGGUUGGGAAGGGAACUCCUAUUCCUAGAAAGAACAUAUGGCCACCAGUCUUAGCCUCACAACAACUACUGAAUGUGGACGCCUCUUUCAUCGAGGGCUCCCACUCGGGAUCAUGAGGAGCAAUUGUUAGAGAUCACAUAGGUUACUUCAUUGCUGGUUCUACCUCACAGAUGGAACAAGUGGCAGAUGUUGUGUUAGCAGAAGCAGCGACACUUCAUGAAGGAUUGAAGCUACUCCAAACCCUGGGGUGCAUCAACGUUCAAGUGAGGAUGGACAAUAUCAUCGUGGUCGAAGCUCUACGUCUCAAUGAGGGUUACUCUAUGGUGGCAGCUCUGCCACUUGAUGAUUGCAGAGACUUAAUGCGAGAAUUCGGGAAGGUUACUAUUGAACAUUAUAAUAGAGAAUCUAACGUAGUGGCUCACAUGCUAACAGAGGGGCGUGCGAACAAUCCGAUUGUUUGGAUGGAUGCACCUCCGAGUUUUAUUGGUAAAUUUUUAGCAGACGAUGUAAGUGUUAUUUGA